AACUUCAGGGACCUUAUUUCUCAACCAGGAGCUUCAAUUAACUUUUUCUGAAGAUUUUGGUCCAUGGGGCAGCAGAAGGAGAAGGGUGAUAUGGAUUACAAAUAACAAUGCUCGACAGAAGAAGGGAAGGGAGACAUGCAGGUGAGAAGAGGUUGCCACGACGAGUUGAUAAGUCAUGCAACAAGUGGAAAGCCCGGUCAAAACGGUGUGUGUGUGGUAAUACUAUAAUGAGUUCUUUAGGUCAUGCAUUGUGUUGAGAUAUUAUGUGGAAACAUUGCCAUAAUGAUCUUCAAGAGCCUCUUAGACAGCGAUAGUCCAAGCUGAUCUUCAUCUUUCUAUUAUAGACUUUUUUUGUGAGAAACUCUGCACUUUGAGGUCCUUCACCUCAACAUGUCAUUAUCUGUAUAAUAUAAUAUUGUACAAUACCACAUUACCGAUUUCACUAUAAGAAGAUGUUUUGAUUA
Molecule: long non-coding RNA, 464 nt
Organism: Lolium perenne
Lineage: Eukaryota; Viridiplantae; Streptophyta; Magnoliopsida; Poales; Poaceae
Source: RefSeq, a predicted model, not a curated record